Molecule: ribosomal RNA, 496 nt
Filed under: uncultured bacterium
Lineage: Bacteria
Description: partial 16S ribosomal RNA
Rfam family: Bacterial small subunit ribosomal RNA
Source: RNAcentral
GAUGAACGCUGGCGGCGUGCCUAAUACAUGCAAGUCGAGCGAACGGACGAGAAGCUUGCUUCUCUGAUGUUAGCGGCGGACGGGUGUGUAACACGUGGAUAACCUACCUAUAAGACUGGGAUAACUUCGGGAAACCGGAGCUAAUACCGGAGAAUAUUUUGAACCGCAUGGUUCAAAAGUGAAAGACGGCCUUGCUGUCACUUAUAGAUGGUUCCGAGCUGCAUUAUUUAGUUGGGAGGGUAACGGCUUUCCAAGGCAACGAUGCAUAGCCGACCUGAGAGAGUGUUCGCCGCCAGUGGAGCUGACAGGCCAUCCCGGGUCCGACAUGAGGCAGCGACCGGGAAGGUACGGAGAUGUGCGGAAGCCUGCCGGAGCGACGCCACGUGAAUGCUGAAAGUCUGCGUGUCGUAAAACGCUGUUCUUGUGGUAGACCAUUUGUGUAUGUAACUGUGCGCAUGUUGACGGUACCGGUAAAGAAGGCCACGGCUACCUACUU